Molecule: ribosomal RNA, 2851 nt
Filed under: Ulva sp. UNA00071828
Lineage: Eukaryota; Viridiplantae; Chlorophyta; Ulvophyceae; Ulvales; Ulvaceae
Description: bacterial LSU rRNA
Rfam family: Bacterial large subunit ribosomal RNA
Source: RNAcentral
GUCAAAUAUAUUAAAGUUUAUGAUGGAUACCUAGGCAUUUAGAGUCGAUGAAGGGCGUGGAUACCAACGAAAUGCUUCGGUUAGUUGGAAACAAACUUUGAUCCGAAGAUUCCCGAAUAGGAAAACCUAUAUAACUACUUAAUAAAUUCAUAAUUAAGUAAGAGACAACCCGCUGAAUUGAAACAUCUUAGUAAGUGGAGGAAAAGAAAGCAAACGCGAUUUCCUUAGUAGCGGCGAGCGAAACGGAAAUAGUCUAAUCAUAAAAAAAAAUUAUAAGUAUUAAACGAAGCAGCUGAAUCCUGCACCAUAGAUGGUGAAAGUCCAGUAGUUAAAAAUAUAAAAAAUGAUUAUAAAGUAGCAUGGAACACGUGAAAUUCCGUGUGAAUAUACGAGGACCACCUCGUAAGACUAAAUACUCCUAAAUGACCGAUAGUGAAACAGUACCGUGAGGGAAAGGUGAAAAAGAACCCCUGUAGGGGAGUGAAAAAGAACAUGAAAUCGUAAACUGACAAUCAGUGGGAGCUAAAGUGACCGCGUGCCUGUUGAAGAAUGAGCCGGCGACUUAUAGGUAGUGGCUUGGUUAAAAUAACUUUUUGGAGCCAAAGCGAAAGCAAGUCUGAUAAGGGCAUAUGUCACUAUUUAUAGACCCGAACCCGAGUGAUCUAACCAUGGCCAGGAUGAAUCUUGGGUAACACCAAGUGGAAGACCGAACCGACUGAUGUUGAAAAAUCAGCGGAUGAGCUGUGGUUAGGGGUGAAAUUCCAGUCGAACUCGGAGCUAGCUGGAUCUCCUCGAAAUGUGUUGAGGCGCAGCGGUUGAUGAUGGGCUAUUUAGGGGUAAAGCACUGUUUCGGUGCGGGCUGCGAAAGCGGUACCAAAUCGUGGCAAACUAAGAAUACUAAAUACGCUUUCCAUCAACCAGUAAGACAGUGGGGGAUAAGCUUCAUUGUCAAAAGGGAAACAGCCCAGAUCACCAGUUAAGGCCCCAAAGUGAUGGCUAAGUGAUAAAGGAAGUAAAAAGGCAAAGACAACCAGAAGGUUUGCUUAGAAGCAGCCAUCCUUGAAAGAGUGCGUAAUAGCUCACUGGUAGAGCCUUUUUGCGCCGAAAAUGAACGGGGCUAAGUUAUCCGCCGAAACUGUGGGUUACAGUUUUAACUGUUACGGUAGAGGAGCGUUCCGUUAUAGGGUGAAGUUAAAAUGUGAAUUUUAAUGGACGAAACGGAAGUGAGAAUGUCGGCUUGAGUAACGAAAACAUUGGUGAGAAUCCAAUGCCCCGAAAACCUAAGGGUUCCUUCACAAGGUUCGUCCAUGGAGGGUUAGUCAGGACCUAAGGCGAGAUCGAAAGGUGUAGUCGAUGGAAAACAGGUUAAUAUUCCUGUACUUGAUUUAAUUUGGUAAAGAGGGACGGAGAAGGCGGUAACUAGCUAGAUAUUGGUAUUCUAGUAGAAGUAUUGAAUUCUUAGAAGAAUGAAAAAAAACUUUCUUUAGAAAACAUACGAUCUAACUGUGAUUCUAUUAGAGUCUUGGUUUAGUUUUAGUCAUACUUCCAAGAAAAGCUUUUAUUAUCGUUAAAUUAAAUCAACCUGUACCCUAAACUGACACAAGUAGGUAGGUAGAGAAUACUAAGGGGCGCGAGAUAACUCUCUCUAAGGAACUCGGCAAAAUGGCCCCGUAACUUCGGGAGAAGGGGUGCCUACAAUAUGUAGGCCGCAGUGACCAGGCCCAGGCGACUGUUUAUCAAAAACACAGGUCUCCGCAAAGUCGUAAGACAAUGUAUGGGGGCUGACGUCUGCCCAGUGCCGGAAGGUAAAAGAAGUUGGUUAUUCUUUAUAAAAAGAAAAAGCUGACGACUGAAGCCCCGGUGAACGGCGGCUGUAACUCUGACAGUCCUAAGGUAGCGAAAUUCCUUGUCGAGUAAGUUUCGACCCGCACGAAAGACGUAACGAUCUGGGCACUGUCUCGGAGAGAGACUCGGUGAAAUAGAAAUGUCUGUGAAGAUGCGGACUACUUAUACCAGGACAGAAAGACCCUAUGAAGCUUGACUGUAAUUUGGAAUUGGGUUCGGGCUUUUUUUGCGCAGUCUAGGUGGGAGGCGUUGAUAUUAAGUUUUCGGACUUAAUGGAGCCAUCAGUGAGAGACCACUCUAAAAGAGCUAGAAUUCUAAUAGGACUCCUUGAAUCAGGAUCCUUGACAGUUUCAGAUGGACAGUUUGACUGGGGCGGUGACCUCCCAAAAGGUAACGGAGGUGUGCAAAGGUUCCCUCAAGCUGGACGGAAAUCAGCUGUAGAGUGCAAAGGUAUAAGGGAGCUUAACUGCAAGACCAACAAGUCGAGCAGAGGCGAAAGCCGGCCUUAGUGAUCCGACGGUUCCGAGUGGAAGGGCCGUCGCUCAACGGAUAAAAGUUACUCUAGGGAUAACAGGCUGAUCUCCCCCAAGAGUUCACAUCGACGGGGAGGUUUGGCACCUCGAUGUCGUUUCAUCGCAACCUGGGGCUGGAGUAGGUCCCAAGGGUUGGGCUGUUCGCCCAUAAAAGCGGUACGUGAGAUGGGUUCAGAACGUCGCGAGACAGUUCGGUCCAUAUCCGGUAUAAGCGUAAGAGCAUUGAGAGGAUCUCAACAUUGUACGAGAGGACCCGAAGGGACGUACCGAUGGUGUACCAGUUCUUAUGCCAAUAGGAAACGCUGGGUAGCUAUGUACGGAGCGGAUAAUCGCUGAAAGCAUUUAAGUGAGAAGCCCACCUCAAGAUGAAUGCUCUCUAUUAGAUCGCGGCAAGACAAGCCGAUAGAUUGGCAUCAAGUGUAAGAUUAGUAAUAAUUUCAGCUGAGAUGUACAAAGGAUCGAUUGAUUUUGAC